GAUGAACGCUGGCGGCGUGCCUAAUACAUGCAAGUCGAGCGAACAGAUGAGGAGUUUGCUCCUCUGACGUUAGCGGCGGACGGGUGAGUAACACGUGGAUAACCUACCUAUAAGACUGGGAUAACUUCGGGAAACCGGAGCUAAUACCGGAUAAUCUACUGAACCGCAUGGUUCAAUAGUGAAAUACGGUUUUUCUGUCACUUAUAGAUGGUUCCCCGCCGCAUUAGCUAGUUGUUAAGGUAACGGCUUACCAAGGGAACCAUGCGUAGCCGAUCUGAGAGGGUGGUCGGCGACAUUGGAACUGAAACACGGUCCAGGCUCCUGCGAGAGGCAGCAGUAGGGAAUCUUCCGCAGUGGGCGAAAGCCUGACGGAGCGACGCCGCGUGAGUGAUGAAGGUCUUCGGAUCGUAAAACUCUGUUAUUAGGGAAGAACAAAUGUGUAAGUAGCUAUGCACGUCUUGACGGUACUUAAUCAGAAAGCCACGGCUAACUACGUG
RNAcentral lists this ribosomal RNA (497 nucleotides) under uncultured bacterium. Its description in RNAcentral is "partial 16S ribosomal RNA". It matches the Rfam family "Bacterial small subunit ribosomal RNA", at positions 28 to 507 of the family's 1533-position model. The record is from RNAcentral.